This 484-nucleotide ribosomal RNA is filed under the name uncultured bacterium. Its description in RNAcentral is "partial 16S ribosomal RNA". It matches the Rfam family "Bacterial small subunit ribosomal RNA", at positions 30 to 507 of the family's 1533-position model. The record is from RNAcentral.
AUUGAACGCUGGCGGCAGGCCUAACACAUGCAAGUCGAGCGGAUGAAGGGAGCUUGCUCCUGGAUUCAGCGGCGGACGGGUGAGUAAUGCCUAGGAAUCUGCCUGGUAGUGGGGGAUAACGUCCGGAAACGGGCGCUAAUACCGCAUACGUCCUGAGGGAGAAAGUGGGGGAUCUUCGGACCUCACGCUAUCAGAUGAGCCUAGGUCGGAUUAGCUAGUUGGUGGGGUAAAGGCCUACCAAGGCGACGAUCCGUAACUGGUCUGAGAGGAUGAUCAGUCACACUGGAACUGAGACACGGUCCAGACUCCUACGGGAGGCAGCAGUGGGGAAUAUUGGACAAUGGGCGAAAGCCUGACCCAGCCAUGCCGCGUGUGUGAAGAAGGUCUUCGGAUUGUAAAGCACUUUAAGUUGGGAGGAAGGGCAGUAAGUUAAUACCUUGCUGUUUUGACGUUACCAACAGAAAAGGCACCGGCUAACUUCGUG